RNAcentral lists this ribosomal RNA (497 nucleotides) under uncultured bacterium. Its description in RNAcentral is "partial 16S ribosomal RNA". It matches the Rfam family "Bacterial small subunit ribosomal RNA", at positions 28 to 508 of the family's 1533-position model. The record is from RNAcentral.
GAUGAACGCUGGCGGCGUGCCUAAUACAUGCAAGUCGAGCGAACAGACGAGGAGCUUGCUCCUCUGACGUUAGCGGCGGACGGGUGAGUAACACGUGGAUAACCUACCUAUAAGACUGGGAUAACUUCGGGAAACCGGAGCUAAUACCGGAUAAUAUAUUGAACCGCAUGGUUCAAUAGUGAAAGACGGUUUUGCUGUCACUUAUAGAUGGAUCCGCGCCGCAUUAGCUAGUUGGUAAGGUAACGGCUUACCAAGGCAACGAUGCGUAGCCGACCUGAGAGGGUGAUCGGCACACCUGAAAGUGACACCCGGUCAAGCCUCCAAGGGGAGGAGCGAAGGGGAAUUCUCCCCAAAGGGGGGAAGGCCUACGGAGGCACCGCCGGGGGAGGAAUAAAGGUUUCAGAAUCUAAAACUUUUUUUAUUGGGAAAAACAAAAUUUGAAAUUAACUAUGCACUUCUUGAGGUAACUAAAUCAGAAACCCCGGCCUAACUAGGGC